CUUCCCAACAGUCUCAUACAGACUAAACCAGUAGAUGCCAGUGUGCCUGAUCACUCCCCUAUCAAACUCAUUGCCGAUCAACUUUUCUGGCAUCCAUUUGUUUUGCUUUGGCUGCUGUCAUUGCUAGCGAGAAUUAGCUGCCUAGCUUCUGGUAAUUAGACUCCAAAUGUGACUUUUUUACCACAGUGAAAUUAAUUUCUUUCGAAAAAGGAACACUUGGGGAAGUUCGGAGAUGGUUUUUGUCCAACGGGGAAGCUACGUGUGGCGUAUGCGUCAAUGAGGCAGGCGUGAUGUGGAUUAUCUGGCCGCUGCUUUGACCUCAGCUGUCCUCGCCGUGACCAGACGACAGAGGUCACAGCAAAAAGACAUGAUGUAGGACAUCUGCUUUACAGCCUCCCUGCCACUAAGCAGCAUCAGCAGACCCCUAAUGGCUGUCGAGGAGGAACGGGUGUGUGACAUGAGCGUCUCAGGGGUCUCAUAAAACACGUUCUAAAGUGCCACUUCAUCCUCAAGCUUGAGCCGCUGCUUUUGCAAGUAAUGAUCCCACACGGCGUGGUAAAAGUGCAGCGUUUCUGCUUGAACUCUGCCCAAACAGGCAGCUCUUUUACUGUCUGUUUAUGUAGACUCCCACCGAGGUGGCAUGGAAUGUGCCUCCAUCGCACACAUUCAUCUGAGUCUGCCUCGACUUGCUGAUAUGUUGAAUUUGAACUCGGGGGCAAAUGUUUUGAUUAAAAAGACUGUU
Molecule: long non-coding RNA, 742 nt
Organism: Entelurus aequoreus (snake pipefish)
Lineage: Eukaryota; Metazoa; Chordata; Actinopteri; Syngnathiformes; Syngnathidae
Exons: 3
Source: RefSeq, a predicted model, not a curated record